GGAUUAGAAACCCGGGUAGUCCAUGCCGUAAACGUUGGGCACUAGAUGUGGGGGACAUUCCACGUUUUCCGCGUCGUAGCUAACGCAUUAAGUGCCCCGCCUGGGGAGUACGGCCGCAAGGCUAAAACUCAAAGGAAUUGACGGGGGCCCGCACAAGCGGCGGAGCAUGCGGAUUAAUUCGAUGCAACGCGAAGAACCUUACCAAGGCUUGACAUGGGCCGGAUCGCCGCAGAAAUGUGGUUUCCCCUUUGGGGCCGGUUCACAGGUGGUGCAUGGUUGUCGUCAGCUCGUGUCGUGAGAUGUUGGGUUAAGUCCCGCAACGAGCGCAACCCUCGUUCCAUGUUGCCAGCACGUUGUGGUGGGGACUCAUGGGAGACUGCCGGGGUCAACUCGG
RNAcentral lists this ribosomal RNA (394 nucleotides) under uncultured bacterium. Its description in RNAcentral is "bacterial SSU rRNA". It matches the Rfam family "Bacterial small subunit ribosomal RNA", at positions 775 to 1166 of the family's 1533-position model. The record is from RNAcentral.